RNAcentral lists this ribosomal RNA (506 nucleotides) under uncultured bacterium. RNAcentral's name for it is "partial 16S ribosomal RNA". It matches the Rfam family "Bacterial small subunit ribosomal RNA", at positions 29 to 523 of the family's 1533-position model. The record is from RNAcentral.
AGUGAACGCUGGCGGUAGGCCUAACACAUGCAAGUCGAACGGCAGCACAGAGGAGCUUGCUCCUUGGGUGGCGAGUGGCGGACGGGUGAGGAAUACAUCGGAAUCUACUCUGUCGUGGGGGAUAACGUAGGGAAACUUACGCUAAUACCGCAUACGACCUACGGGUGAAAGCAGGGGACCUUCGGGCCUUGCGCGAUUGAAUGAGCCAAUGUCGGAUUAGCUAGUUGGCGGGGUAAAGGCCCACCAAGGCGACGAUCCGUAGCGGGUCUGAGAGGAUGAUCAGCCACACUGGAACUGAGACACGGUCCAGACUCCUACGGGAGGCAGCAGUGGGGAAUAUUGGACAAUGGGCGCAAGCCUGAUCCAGCCAUACCGCGUGGGUGAAGAAGGCCUUCGGGUUGUAAAGCCCUUUUGUUGGGAAAGAAAUCCAGCUGGCUAAUACCCGGUUGGGAUGACGGUACCCAAAGAAUAAGCACCGGCUAACUUCGUGCCAGCAGCCGCGGUAA